This 349-nucleotide ribosomal RNA is filed under the name uncultured bacterium. RNAcentral's name for it is "partial 16S ribosomal RNA". It matches the Rfam family "Bacterial small subunit ribosomal RNA", at positions 338 to 704 of the family's 1533-position model. The record is from RNAcentral.
CCUACGGGAGGCAGCAGUGGGGAAUAUUGCACAAUGGGGGAAACCCUGAUGCAGCGACGCCGCGUGAGUGAAGAAGGAAUUCGGGAGGGAAAGCUCUAUCAGCAGGGAAGAAAAUGACGGUACCUGAGGAAGAAGCCCCGGCUAACGACGUGCCAGCAGCCGCGGUAAUACGUAGGGGGCAAGCGUUAUCCGGAGUUACUGGGGGUAAAGGGAGCGUAGACGGCAGUGGAAGUCUGGAGUGAAAGUCGGGGGCUCAACCCCCGGACUGCUCUUGAAACUGUCCGGCUGGAGUGCAGGAGAGGUAAGUGGAAUUCCUCGUGUAGCGGUGAACUUCGUAGAUAUUAGGAGG